UACGACUACAUAUCAGGCAUAUCAAUAAGCGGAGGAAAAGAAACUAACUAGGAUUCCCUCAGUAACGGCGAGUGAAGCGGGAAGAGCUCAAAUUUGAAAUCUUCAAGGUUUUACCUUGACGAAUUGUAGUUUAAAGAAGUGUUUUCUGUUGGAUGUUUUGGUAAAAGUUCUUUGGAAUAGGACAUCAUAGAGGGUGAGAAUCCCGUAUUUGACCAUUUCUUCCAGCUGUGUGAUACACUUUCAAAGAGUCGGAUUGUUUGGGAAUGCAGUCCAAAAUGGGUGGUAAAUUUCAUCUAAAGCUAAAUAUUGGCGAGAGACCGAUAGCGAACAAGUACCGUGAGGGAAAGAUGAAAAGAACUUUGAAAAGAGAGUUAAACAGUACGUGAAAUUGUCAAAAGGGAAGCGUUUGACACCAGUGUUGUUUUCUCGAAAAUCAAUUAAAAAUGACCGGAUUUUGUGUUGUAUUGACUUUAUCAGCUUUCUGCACUUUUUUCUUGUCUUUUUUAAUGCACUUUUCGUUUAACAAGUCAACAUCAAUUUCUUUUGUUGUAAAAGGGUCAUUGGAAGGUGGCUUUCACUUCGGUGAAAGUGUUUAUAGCCUUUGACUUCUGCAAUCGGAGAGAUUGAGGUCUGCAGCGUAGGAUCCUUCGGGGUUAGAUACAUUUGUGCUAAGUUAGUAGUUUUUCAUAGACAACAUGUUGACUAUGAUUAAUCAUGUAGCUUACUCGCUUAUGCUAUUUUACCUACGCUUAGGAUGUUGAAUCUGUGCGAGACUAC
RNAcentral lists this ribosomal RNA (777 nucleotides) under uncultured Neocallimastigales. RNAcentral describes it as "partial large subunit ribosomal RNA". It matches the Rfam family "Eukaryotic large subunit ribosomal RNA", at positions 24 to 644 of the family's 3401-position model. The record is from RNAcentral. Lineage: Eukaryota; Fungi; Neocallimastigomycota; Neocallimastigomycetes; Neocallimastigales.